CCUACGGGAGGCAGCAGUGAGGAAUAUUGGUCAAUGGCCGAGAGCCUGAACCAGCCAAGUCGCGUGAGGGAAGACGGCCCUACGGGUUGUAAACCUCUUUUGUCGGGGAGCAAAGCGAGUCAUGUGUGACUCAUUGAGAGUACCCGACGAAAAAGCAUCGGCAAACUCCGUGCCAGCAUCCGCGGUAAUAUGGGGGAUGCGAGGGUUAUCCGGAUUUAUUGGGUUAAAAGGGUGCGCAGGCGUAGGUGCAAGUCAGCGGUCAAAUUGCGGGGCUCAACCCCGUACUGCCGUUGAAACUGCAGACCUUGAGUGCGUGAGAGGUAUGCGGAAUGCGUGGUGUAGCGGUGAA
This 349-nucleotide ribosomal RNA is filed under the name uncultured bacterium. RNAcentral describes it as "partial 16S ribosomal RNA". It matches the Rfam family "Bacterial small subunit ribosomal RNA", at positions 338 to 685 of the family's 1533-position model. The record is from RNAcentral.